CAGCAGCCGCCGCGGUAAUACGAAGGGGGCUAGCGUUGCUCGGAAUGACUGGGCGUAAAGGGCGCGUAGGCGGAUUGUUUAGUUAGGCGUGAAAUUCCUGGGCUUAACCUGGGGACUGCGUUUGAUACUUGGUUGCUUGAGUGGGGAAGAGGGUCGUGGAAUUCCCAGUGUAGAGGUGAAAUUCGUAGAUAUUGGGAAGAACACCGGUGGCGAAGGCGGCGACCUGGUCCUUUACUGACGCUGAGGCGCGAAAGCGUGGGGAGCAAACAGGAUUAGAUACCCCCGUAGUCCCUGUCUCUUAUAC
RNAcentral lists this ribosomal RNA (304 nucleotides) under uncultured bacterium. RNAcentral describes it as "partial 16S ribosomal RNA". It matches the Rfam family "Bacterial small subunit ribosomal RNA", at positions 506 to 807 of the family's 1533-position model. The record is from RNAcentral.